CAGCCGUAAACAAUGUGCGUUAGGUGUGUCGGUAACCACGCGUUACUGAUGCGCCGAAGAGAAAUCGUGAAACGCACCACCCGGGAAGUACGGUCGCAAGGCUGAAACUUAAAGGAAUUGGCGGGGGAGCACCACAACAGGUGGAGCCUGCGGUUUAAUUGGAUUCAACGCCGGACAUCUCACCGGAUAAGACAGCUGAAUGAUUGUCAAUCUGAAGGUUUUACAUGACUAGCUGAGAGGUGGUGCAUGGCGUCAGUGACUGU
This 263-nucleotide ribosomal RNA is filed under the name uncultured archaeon. RNAcentral's name for it is "partial 16S ribosomal RNA". It matches the Rfam family "Archaeal small subunit ribosomal RNA", at positions 748 to 1010 of the family's 1478-position model. The record is from RNAcentral.